UUGGAGGGCAAGUCUGGUGCCAGCAGCCGCGGUAAUUCCAGCUCCAAUAGCGUAUAUUAAAGUUGUUGCAGUUAAAAAGCUCGUAGUUGAAUUUCGGGAUCAAUAUAUCGGUCAUGCUUAGGUAUGUACUGGUAUUAUUGAUUUCUCCCUUCUGAAGAACCAUGAUGUCAUUAAUUUGAUGUCGUGGGGAAUCAGGACUGUUACUUUGAAAAAAUUAGAGUGUUUAAAGCAGGCAUACGCUUGAAUACAUUAGCAUGGAAUAAUGAAAUAGGACGUUUGAUUCUAUUUUGUUGGUUUCUAGGAUUGACGUAAUGAUUAAUAGGGAUAGUUGGGGGCAUUAGUAUUCAAUUGUCAGAGGUGAAAUUCUUGGAUUUAUUGAAGACUAACUACUGCGAAAGCAUUUGCCAAGGAUGUUUUCAUUAAUCAAGAACGAAAGUUAGGGGAUCGAAGACGAUCAGAUACCGUCGUAGUCUUAACCAUAAACUAUGCCGACUAGGGAUCGGAUGAUGUUAAUUUUUUAAUGACUCAUUCGGCGCCUUACGGAAACCAAAGUGUUUGGGUUC
Molecule: ribosomal RNA, 563 nt
Filed under: uncultured Glomeromycotina
Lineage: Eukaryota; Fungi; Glomeromycota
Description: SSU rRNA
Rfam family: Eukaryotic small subunit ribosomal RNA
Source: RNAcentral